Pelobates cultripes (western spadefoot toad) is the source of this 115-nucleotide non-coding RNA. The record is from the annotation of a GenBank genome assembly. Lineage: Eukaryota; Metazoa; Chordata; Amphibia; Anura; Pelobatidae.
GUGUGUGUGUGGGGUACUGUUUUACUCAGGAGACUUUGCUGAACACAGAUCAUGAUAUUGUCAGUGAAAGUGAUAUUGUUCAGCUAAGUUUCCUGAGUAUAACAGUACCCCCCAU